RNAcentral lists this ribosomal RNA (487 nucleotides) under uncultured archaeon. RNAcentral's name for it is "bacterial SSU rRNA". It matches the Rfam family "Archaeal small subunit ribosomal RNA", at positions 392 to 879 of the family's 1478-position model. The record is from RNAcentral.
CAUCAUAUGCUGGCUGUCCGGGUGUGUAAAAUACACCUGUUAGCAAGGGCCGGGCAAGACCGGUGCCAGCCGCCGCGGUAACACCGGCGGCCCGAGUGGUGAUCGUGAUUAUUGGGUCUAAAGGGUCCGUAGCCGGUUUGGUCAGUCCUCCGGGAAAUCUGACGGCUUAACCGUUAGGCUUUCGGAGGAUACUGCCAGGCUUGGAACCGGGAGAGGUAAGAGGUACUACAGGGGUAGGAGUGAAAUCUUGUAAUCCCUGUGGGACCACCUGUGGCGAAGGCGUCUUACCAGAACGGGUUCGACGGUGAGGGACGAAAGCUGGGGGCACGAACCGGAUUAGAUACCCGGGUAGUCCCAGCCGUAAACGAUGCUCGCUAGGUGUCAGGCAUGGCGCGACCGUGUCUGGUGCCGCAGGGAAGCCGUGAAGCGAGCCACCUGGGAAGUACGGCCGCAAGGCUGAAACUUAAAGGAAUUGGCGGGGGAGCAC